UUGUAAGUUGGAAUGCGCAUUUCGAGCAGAAUCUGUUGAGCAGCUCUGUGCGUGGUUCAUCCGCCAUUUUUGGCCCUCCGUUUUCAAGACCAGCGCUUCCAACUAGAACCACGUAGAACUUCACGAAAAAUUUACUGAGUACUUGUCGCCGUUCUUAUCUGAAUUUCACUCUCCGAACUUGCUGGUGACAAGAGCUUGUAGAAUGUAUUCCCCCGGAAAGUUGCUCCAUCUUACAUGUGGAAACGACGGUCGACAAAUGUUAGGCUUUACGUUACAUUGCCUUUUCCAUAAGUAGGCCUACUUCGUGUUUUACGAGAAACUUCUGAUUAAGAGAAGCAAAACCGUGAGUGGAGUGCAGACACAAAGGGGUCCAAGAUGGCACCACUGAUGUCCAAGGGAUUGGCUGCCUACCUGCUUGAACUCUCAUCGUCAAGACUGGAUGCGGUCAUACUUGAUAAAGGCAAAUCCAUGGCAACAGCUUUUUAGCUGAAAUUGAAAUUUUCUAAUGACCAGUUUCUGACUAAAAGUAUUGGCGUGCAAGCCAAAAGUUUGAAAGUGAGUUAUUUUAUGCUUUUUGUGACCAACUGAGCCAUUCUAGUGGGAAACAGUCCCACCCAAAUUGGGAAAAAAAAA
Long non-coding RNA from Acanthaster planci (crown-of-thorns starfish), 633 nucleotides. The record is from RefSeq and is a predicted model, not a curated record. Lineage: Eukaryota; Metazoa; Echinodermata; Asteroidea; Valvatida; Acanthasteridae.